This 647-nucleotide long non-coding RNA is filed under the name Phaseolus vulgaris (common bean). RNAcentral describes it as "long non-coding RNA (PVUL_LNC002391)". The record is from RNAcentral. Lineage: Eukaryota; Viridiplantae; Streptophyta; Magnoliopsida; Fabales; Fabaceae.
AACAAUGUUAUUCAAUAUAUAAACAUUGUUACAUACAAUCAUUAAAAUAAAGAAAAAUGAACUUGAACAGAAACAUAGAACAUUUCAAGUUUUAUUUAAUUUAUUUAGCGCAAAUUUGUGUUUUUCUGUUUUAAUUUUUUUAAUUCAUUAUUUUAAAUCACAUUUAUUAUUUCAUGAAUAACUAAAUUUUAGAAGAAUCUAUUUUUUCUUUAUCAUUUGUAUUAUAUAUAAUAUUUCGUAUUUAUUAUUUUUAUCAAUAAACAAACUUCAAAUUAAUACAUGUACUAGUAGAAUAUGUACCCGUUACAGAAUUACAAAAGUUAUAUAAUAGAUACACCAUGAAUCGCUCCCUACUGACAUGUAUGGAGUUGUUCACAAUAUAGUUAUUACAACAACAUAAAAACAAGCACACUAGUUAAGCUAUACUUACUAAUUAAAGUAAUGUACCCGAACAUGUAUCAAUUCCAUUUUUUCAUCUAGUCUUUAGUUUUCCUCCAAAUCAUUCUAUGCUCUAUUUUUUGUAUUGUAUUGACACUAUAUUUGUGUUUGAUAUUGCACUCAUCUUUUACACCAAAAGUUGUAUUUUGAUAUUUUGUGUUUGAUUUGUUUUCAACUUCUUUUACCUCUUCAAUUUUACUUGAAUGUAC